AAACUUGAGAGUUUGAUCCUGGCUCAGAACGAACGCUGGCGGCAUGCUUUAUACAUGCAAGUCGAACGGACAAUUUAGAAGCUUGCUUUUGAAUUGUUAGUGGCAAACGGGUGAGUAACAUGUGGGAACCUGCCUAUUAGUAGGGAAUAACUUAUGGAAACAUAAGCUAAUACCUUAUAACCUCUAAGGAGGAAAGAUUUAUCGCUAAUAGAUGGGCCCGCACAAGAUUAGGUAGUUGGUAGGGUAAUGGCCUACCAAGCCGACGAUCUUUAGCUGGUCUGAGAGGAUGAUCAGCCACACUGGGACUGAGAUACGGCCCAGACUCCUACGGGAGGCAGCAGUAGGGAAUAUUGGACAAUGGACGAAAGUCUGAUCCAGCAAUGCCGCGUGAAUGAUGAAGGCCUUAGGGUUGUAAAGUUCUUUUAGUAGGGAAGAUAAUGACUGUACCUACAGAAAAAGCCCCGGCUAACUCCGUGCCAGCAGCCGCGGUAAGACGGAGGGGGCUAGUGUUGUUCGGAAUUACUGGGCGUAAAGGGCGCGUAGGCGGAUUAGUAAGUUAGAAGUUAAAGACCAGGGCUCAACCUUGGGAAUGCUUUUAAUACUGCUAGUCUAGAGUGAAGUAGGGGGUAACGGAAUUCCUAGUGUAGAGGUGAAAUUCUUAGAUAUUAGGAGGAACACCAGUGGCGAAGGCGGUUACCUGGGCUUUUACUGACGCUGAGGCGCGAAAGCGUGGGGAGCAAACAGGAUUAGAUACCCUGGUAGUCCACGCUGUAAACGAUGAGUGCUAGAUGUCGGGAGAAUUUUCUCUCGGUUUCAAAGCUAACGCGUUAAGCACUCCGCCUGGAGACUACGAUCGCAAGAUUAAAAUUCAAAGGAAUUGACGGGGGCUCGCACAAGUGGUGGAGCAUGCGGUUUAAUUCGAUGCUACGCGAAAAACCUUACCAACUCUUGACAUGGUGGUCGCGGAUAUGGAGACAUAUCUUUCAGUUCGGCUGGACCACACACAGGUGUUGCACGGCUGUCGUCAGCUCGUGUCGUGAGAUGUUGGGUUAAGUCCCGCAACGAGCGAAACCCUCAUCCUUAUUUGCCAGCGAGUAAUGUCGGGAACUAUAAGGAAACUGCCGGUGAUAAGCCGGAGGAAGGUGGGGACGACGUCAAGUCAUCAUGGCCCUUAUGAGUUGGGCUACACGCGUGCUACAAUGGUGCUUACAGAGGGCAGCUAUAUGGCAACAUAAUGCUAAUCCUUAAAAAGCAUCUCAGUUCGGAUUGUUCUCUGCAACUCGAGAACAUGAAGUAGGAAUCACUAGUAAUCGCGGAUCAGCAUGCCGCGGUGAAUACGUUCCCGGGCCUUGUACACACUGCCCGUCACGCCAUGGGAGUUAGGCAUACCUUAAGUUGGUGAGCUAACCUUUUAGGAGGCAGCCAACCACGGUAAGUUUAGCGACUGGGGUGAAGUCGUAACAAGGUAGCCGUAGGUGAACCUGCGGCUGGAUUACCUCUAGA
Molecule: ribosomal RNA, 1503 nt
Filed under: Candidatus Megaera endosymbiont of Hartmannula sinica
Lineage: Bacteria; Pseudomonadati; Pseudomonadota; Alphaproteobacteria; Rickettsiales; Rickettsiaceae
Description: bacterial SSU rRNA
Rfam family: Bacterial small subunit ribosomal RNA
Source: RNAcentral